UACGGAGGGGACUAGCGUUGUUCGGAAUUACUGGGCGUAAAGAGCGCGCAGGCGGUCGUAUAAGUCGCGUGUGAAAGCCCCCGGCUCAACUGGGGAGGGUCACGCGAUACUGUUCGACUUGAAGGCAGGAGAGGGAAGCGGAAUUCCCGGUGUAGUGGUGAAACGCGUAGAUAUCGGGAGGAACACCAGUGGCGAAGGCGGCUUCCUGGCCUGUUCUUGACGCUGAGGCGCGAAAGCUAGGGUAGCAAACAGG
This 253-nucleotide ribosomal RNA is filed under the name uncultured bacterium. RNAcentral's name for it is "partial 16S ribosomal RNA". It matches the Rfam family "Bacterial small subunit ribosomal RNA", at positions 524 to 776 of the family's 1533-position model. The record is from RNAcentral.